GAAAUACGUACAGUCUAUGGGAAAUACAAGCAGUGGUGAAUAUACAUCCUCGAAUAAAAGGUUCACAUUGUACUGUGUGCCCCCGGAUGUUGAUCGAUCUUUCUUGGGGGGAACUGCAGAGAAAAUGGCAGAACAAUCAAGAGGUCCAGAUCAGGCCCAAAUCCAGGACUGGAAAAUGUUACCUGGUCUGUUCUUACCCCCAUAUAUUUAUUUAUUUAUGAGUGAUAUGGCUGGCUGAAUACAAACAGUUCCAUGUGGACCGGAGGGCCCAGCUGUCAGGCUGGAUGGGUGGAGUCGUGAACUGCACGGAGUGUGUGAAGAUAAAUGUCUUUUUUUAACCAAGCAAGGGAAAUUAUUUUAUUUAGAUGAAAUCACAAGGC
This is a long non-coding RNA of Gymnodraco acuticeps, 380 nucleotides long. RefSeq lists it as uncharacterized. NCBI's taxonomy places the organism in Eukaryota, Metazoa, Chordata, Actinopteri, Perciformes, Bathydraconidae. The record is from RefSeq and is a predicted model, not a curated record. The transcript is spliced from 4 exons.